GUCCACGCCCUAAACGAUGUCUACUAGUUGUCGGGUUUUAAUUAACUUGGUAACGCAGCUAACGCGUGAAGUAGACCGCCUGGGGGAGUACGGUCGCAAGAUUAAAACUCAAAGGAAUUGACGGGGACCCGCACAAGCGGUGGAUGAUGUGGAUUAAUUCGAUGCAACGCGAAAAACCUUACCUACCCUUGACAUGUACGGAAGGCCGAAGAGAUUUGGCUGUGCUCGAAAGAGAACCGUAACACAGGUGCUGCAUGGCUGUCGU
RNAcentral lists this ribosomal RNA (265 nucleotides) under uncultured bacterium. RNAcentral's name for it is "partial 16S ribosomal RNA". It matches the Rfam family "Bacterial small subunit ribosomal RNA", at positions 793 to 1055 of the family's 1533-position model. The record is from RNAcentral.